UGCCUACGGGGGGCAGCAGUGGGGGAUAUUGGACAAUGGGGGGAACCCUGAUCCAGCGACGCCGCGUGAGUGAAGAAGUAUUUCGGUAUGUAAAGCUCUGUCAGCAGGGAAGAAAGCAAUGACGGUACCUGACCAAGAAGCCCCGGCUAACUACGUGCCAGCAGCCGCGGUAAUACGUAGGGGGCAAGCGUUAUCCGGAUUUACUGGGUGUAAAGGGAGCGUAGACGGCAGAGAAAGUCUGAAGUGAAAGCCCGCGGCUCAACCGCGGAACUGCUUUGGAAACUUUUCGGCUAGAGUACCGGAGG
Molecule: ribosomal RNA, 305 nt
Filed under: uncultured bacterium
Lineage: Bacteria
Description: bacterial SSU rRNA
Rfam family: Bacterial small subunit ribosomal RNA
Source: RNAcentral